GACGAACGCUGGCGGCGUGCCUAAUACAUGCAAGUCGAACGCUUCUUUCCUCCCGAGUGCUUGCACUCAAUUGGAAAGAGGAGUGGCGGACGGGUGAGUAACACGUGGGUAACCUACCCAUCAGAGGGGGAUAACACUUGGAAACAGGUGCUAAUACCGCAUAACAGUUUAUGCCGCAUGGCAUAAGAGUGAAAGGCGCUUUCGGGUGUCGUUGAUGGAUGGACCCGCGGUGCAUUAGCUAGUUGGUGAGGUAACGGCUCACCAAGGCCACGAUGCAUAGCCGACCUGAGGGGGUGAUCGGCCACACUGGGGCUGAGAAACGGCCCAGACUCCUACGGGAGGCAGCAGUAGGGAAUCUUCGGCAGUGGACGAAAGUCUGACCGAGCAACGCCGCGUGAGUGAAGAAGGUUUUCGGAUCGUAAAACUCUGUUGUUAGAGAAGAACAAGGACGUUAGUAACUGAACGUCCCCUGACGGUAUCUAACCAGAAAGCCACGGCUAACUACGU
RNAcentral lists this ribosomal RNA (507 nucleotides) under uncultured bacterium. RNAcentral describes it as "partial 16S ribosomal RNA". It matches the Rfam family "Bacterial small subunit ribosomal RNA", at positions 28 to 506 of the family's 1533-position model. The record is from RNAcentral.